AUUGAACGCUGGCGGCAGGCCUAACACAUGCAAGUCGAGCGGAGCGGCGGACGGGUGGGUAAUGCCUAGGUAUCUGCCUGGUAGUGGGGGAUGACGUACGGAAACGGGCGCUAAUACCGCAUACUAUCAGAUGAGCCUGGGUCGGGUUAGCUAGUUGGUGGGGUAAAGGCCUACCAAGGCGACGAUCCGUACCUGGUCUGAGAGGAUGUUCAGUCACACUGGAACUGAGACACGGUCCAGACUCCUACGGGAGGCAGCAGUGGGGAAUAUUGGACAAUGGGCGAAAUCCUGAUCCACCCAUGCCGCGUGUGUGAAGAAGGUCUUCGGAUUGUAAAGCACUUUAAGUUGGGAGGCGUUACCAACAGAAUAAGCACCGGCUAACUUCGUGCCAGCAGCCGCGGUAAUUC
RNAcentral lists this ribosomal RNA (407 nucleotides) under uncultured bacterium. Its description in RNAcentral is "partial 16S ribosomal RNA". It matches the Rfam family "Bacterial small subunit ribosomal RNA", at positions 30 to 526 of the family's 1533-position model. The record is from RNAcentral.